RNAcentral lists this ribosomal RNA (404 nucleotides) under uncultured bacterium. Its description in RNAcentral is "bacterial SSU rRNA". It matches the Rfam family "Bacterial small subunit ribosomal RNA", at positions 355 to 776 of the family's 1533-position model. The record is from RNAcentral. RNAcentral also lists the same sequence under 1 other name.
UGGGGAAUCUUGCACAAUGGGCGAAAGCCUGAUGCAGCGACGCCGCGUGCGCGAUGAAGUCCUUCGGGAUGUAAAGCGCUUUCGACGGGAACGAUAAUGACGGUACCCGGAGAAGAAGCUGCGGCUAACUACGUGCCAGCAGCCGCGGUAAUACGUAGGCAGCAAACGUUGUUCGGAGUUACUGGGCGUAAAGAGUGCGUAGGCGGUUCGGUAAGUUUGGUGUGAAAUCUCCCGGCUCAACUGGGAGGGUGCGCCGAAAACUGCCGGGCUAGAGUGCCGGAGAGGAAAGCGGAAUUCCUGGUGUAGCGGUGAAAUGCGUAGAUAUCAGGAGGAACACCCGUGGUGUAGACGGCUUUCUGGACGGCCACUGACGCUGAGGCACGAAAGCGUGGGGAGCAAACAGG